Molecule: long non-coding RNA, 1914 nt
Filed under: Homo sapiens (human)
Lineage: Eukaryota; Metazoa; Chordata; Mammalia; Primates; Hominidae
Description: HSALNT0371587
Source: RNAcentral
GGUCAGACCAGGAAGACAGAGGCCAAACCCAGCAUCACACUUUGACCUGCCCGGGAACACAGUGGGUAAGAGAAGAAAACAUGGAGAAUUAUUUUACAGCUGUGAUGUUGUCAAUUGUACAAUAUCUACUCCAAUUUCCUCCCAUCUUUGAGAUGACUGAUAAGAAUGCCUUAUGUGUCACACAGGAUCAUAACACAAACUUUCUUCUCUUUCCUGAUGCCCCUCUCAAAUUUACUCAGUAGGGGGAACUUCACCUUCUCCUAUCUCCUGGGAAAUAACCACUAAAGUCUUGAAAUGUCUUGAGUGAUUGGAGGACCUUUAUUUUUCACGCCUGAUGCCUUAUGCUGAUGAGAUGACUCAGCAGGGGAUGGCCAGGCCAGAAAGACCAAAACUGUAUCCUGAGGUUUGAGUUUCUGAGCCAGGUGAUGUCAUCCUCCAGCUUGGCCGGCCUCUUUCUGGGAGCCUCUGGUGUGAAAGAGAGCAGUGCUUGCCUUUCCCAUGUCUAGGAGUUUGCCUAAAUCUUCAAAGAUAUGUGAGGCUUGCCUAGAACAUCAUCAUCAGGAAUGCUGGUCCUUCAAUUUGUUUUUUGAAUUGAAGUGUAGUUUACAGUGAUCAAGUUGAAAAUAAGGCUCUGCAUGAAAGCUAACUAUUAAAAGGGUGUGGGCACAGGAGCAACCAACACAGACCCCACAGAAUCCCAAACCUAUGCUAAGAGGGAGCACUUCCAUCCCUCCAAACCUGUGCUAAGAGGGACACCUCCAUCCUUCUAAGCCUGUGCUAAGAGGGAACACCUCCAUCCUUCCAAACCUGUGAUAGGAGGGAGCAUCUCCAUCCUUCUGAACCUGUGCUAAGAGGAAACACCUCCAUCCUUCCAAACCUGUGAUAGGAGGGAGCACCUCCAUCCUUCCGAACCUGUGCUAAGAGGGACACCUCCAUCCUUCCAAGCCUGUGCUAAGAGGGAGCACCUCCAUCCUUCCAAACCUGUGAUAGGAGGGAGCACCUCCAUCCUUCCAAGCCUGUGCUAAGAGGGAGCACCUCCAUCCUUCCAAACCUGUGAUAGGAGGGAGCACCUCCAUCCUUCCGAACCUGUGCUAAGAGGGACACCUCCAUCCUUCCAAGCCUGUGCUAAGAAGGAGCACCUCCAUCCUUCCAUCUGGCAACCCCACAUCUUUCUGUGCAGCAUUGGCUCAUGGAGUUUUGCACAAUCUGUUGCCUUAAUGCAGCUGUGAGGUGGUAAACCCCAUGCCAUUGCACAGCUGUGCUGGUGGAGUCUUCAACAACAGAGGGAUGAAACGAGAGUGCUGAGUGAUGGGUGGAGUGUGCUCACAGAAGCCAGCUGUGCUUGCCCCACUCCCACCCAAAAUGUUUACCCACGUGGGAAAUGCCUGCCCUGCAUAGGAGUACCCAAGGAACCCAGGAUAUAAAGAAACUUCUAAAAUGGAUCUGAAAGGGGGAAGAGCCCUCCCCUGUAAGGAAGCGAGAGAGAUUUAUUAAAAAUCAUCAACUUCAAAUUAUUUGGAUGGAAACAUUGCCAAAUCAUAGAGAUGUUUGCUACCACCCGCACACCAAGCAGCUGGGUAACUAGAAGUGCAGGAUCAGCUUAUUCACCUCCGAAAGCCUGCAUGCAACCACUGAGGCCGCCUCUAUUUUUUACAUAGUUCUACUUGGUGUAUGUAACCCCACAGAGAAACCUGGAAGAAUGCAUGAAACCUAGUAAGGCAACCAGCACAUGCAACAGAAUGAACCGUUUCUUUCCAUCUGAAUGCCUAAAUGUGGACUCUGAUCCUUUCUACCAAGUCCUAAGUUUGGGAAAAGAGGACAAGGACAGGGGCUCUGUCCCAUAUCAUAAUGUGCUUGUGAAUGGCUAAAAUUACAAUGCUGAGAUAAGUGUGUGUAAUAAAAUAAUUGCACCCC